UUCAGUUCUGGUUCACGUUUCAGCAUUCAAAUAAAUUCCGCUGUAUGUGUCCACUCUGCUUUCAGUACAGUCAAUCUGCUAUGGGGCACAUUAAUGCCCCUGGCUCUCAUCUUCCGUGAACGCCAACAUUUGUGGAGGCUACGGACCGAGCCUAGUGGGGAAGUUUCGAAGUCUCCUUCUCGGCUAAAACAAUAAUAAAAAAUUACAAUUUGUUGGACAGAUUUUUUGAUCGUAGAGAGCUUGGUGAAAUAUGUACAUCAUGACUAUAUAUAUAGAUAAUAUAAUUCAUAUUCCGACAGAUCUCAGUCGGUAAUCAUUCUACAAAAUUCAAAGUCCAAAAAACGUACAUUCGCAAUGUGUCGCUGUGAGUGUGAGGAUAAACAGUGUACUUCUUUUUUUGCAAUAUGGAACAUAUGCUGGGGGGUUGCUUAUAGCAUUUUGUCUUAUACCAUGGUUGCUGUGUAUGUGUAUUCGGAAUCGGAGAGCGACAAUGUUUUGCAAGUUAUUGCAUACGGUAACUGUGUAUUUGCGCCACUGUACAUUGUGUCUGGAAUAUUGAUUCUUGUUGGUGACUCUAAG
Drosophila obscura is the source of this 579-nucleotide long non-coding RNA. RefSeq lists it as uncharacterized. NCBI's taxonomy places the organism in Eukaryota, Metazoa, Arthropoda, Insecta, Diptera, Drosophilidae. The transcript has 2 exons. The record is from RefSeq and is a predicted model, not a curated record.